Long non-coding RNA from Photinus pyralis (common eastern firefly), 2264 nucleotides. RefSeq lists it as uncharacterized. The transcript has 3 exons. NCBI's taxonomy places the organism in Eukaryota, Metazoa, Arthropoda, Insecta, Coleoptera, Lampyridae. The record is from RefSeq and is a predicted model, not a curated record.
AGUCCUACAAAAAUAAAAAAUGUCUAGACUAUACAGGAAUACAUAAUUUUCAUGUGUGACUAUUGAUAUGCAUAACACCACAGUCUGAAUAUAAAUCAGUCGUCCCACUACCUUUCUGUUCCAAUUUUACGAACGCUGGAAUAAACUUUGAACGGAAUCGCAGUGGUUUAUUUAUUUAUUAGAUUUUUCUUAUUUUUAUAAUGAGUCAUAAUUUUUAUUAAUGGACGCUAUAUGUACCAGGUGUCUAUGCAAAACCUUUAAAUGGAAUUAUAACUGGUAUGUUAAAAGCUUUCAGCUUAAAAUUUUGGAGUGUCAUCAAGGGAGAUAAUUAAUAGGAUAUAAGAUACAACCCCAACGUGACAUAAGUGAUUAGGUUUAAUCAUUUGGAAAUUAUUGCGUGUUAUUAUAAAAGUUUAUCGCCGGUCAUUGCGAUAAGAGUCCGUUAUCGCUGCGUACAGCUAAUUAUGUACUUUCAAUAUCUUUCGUCAAAGUAAACACAGUCGGACGUGAAACAAGUGCUUCGGUUGUAAGACAGUGAGUCUAGAACAAUAUGCGUAGAAACCGCCUCAUUUAUUAAUUUACAUAUAAUUUAGUGUUAAGCGACCUUCGCCUGACGGAACUGCGUAUUUUUGAAAAAGCGAACAAAUCGUUGCGAUACAUUUAAAUUAAUAAUAGAUAAAAUAUCCGGACAGUUCAGGUGACCAUUUAGUAGUUUGAAACCAAAACAUGCGGUAAGAAAAUUUCUCCUUUGUUUAAGAGUCAGUAUUCCCAGGUAAAGUCGUACAUUUUCAGCGUGAUCCAAAAUGACUCCAUUAAGAAGUAUUUUAUACUUUAUAAGGCGAAGGAAAUUGUUUUGUAUUUUUUCUAACCGAUUAAUAUGAGUUGAAAAGUAUGGUGACCAGAUCGUGCAGCAAUAGACCAGAUGCGACCUAACCAGGGAGAAGUAUAGUCUUCAGUGCCGUUAUGUUGAUGAAAUCCUUGCAUUGGCGACGAAUGAGCCCAACCAUUUUGCUAACCUUCGAGAUAACAUGAUCGUAGUGAUGCUUGUGUCAAGUACUACACCCAGGUCCUUGAUGAUGCCCACAUGUUGAAGUUCUUAACCACAAAGAUGGUAGUGCGGUACAGAAAGAGAUGAUUUCUUCGAAAAACAAAUUGAACCCAUAUUUCAAGUUGUACCAAAUCUUGUUGAAGGAUCAGCACAUCCUGGGUGUUCUCAAUAGGUCUGUAGAUGUAGAUAAGAUCGUCAGCAAAGAGGGCAUGAUUUGAGGAAAAUAUCGAAGAUAUGUCAUUAACUUAUGCCACGAACCGAGGCAGCACGAAAUGUGUCCCUUGCGGAACUCCAGAUUUGAUGUCAAUGGGAUCCGAUAAAGUGUCAUCGAUUUGAAGUCGUGCUUUACGUCCAGCUAAGUAGCUAAGUACUGAAACGGGUUUGUUUCUACAGAUCUCCCUUUUGUAAAAGCAUGUUGAUUGGCCGAUAGCACUUGCGAGAAAGCCUUGGUGAACUGCCGGACAAUAAUGGAUUCGAAAAGUUUCGGUAUAGCCGACUGGAUGGAUAUUGGUCUGUAGUUAUAUAGGCACUCGGGAAAACACUUUUCAACCAAUGAAGACGAAAAUAAAAGGAACAGUGGUAGAUAUAUUGAUUGAGCACAGUUCUUGAGAAAUUUUGGUGGAAUUUCAUCUGGUCCUGUGCUUCCGAAUUCAUCGACAACUGAUAGAUUUACACUGUGAUCGCAACUCGGUAAAAACAUGAUAAUCAAUGUUGCUCUUGGAUGCUUUACACAUUUACAUGUGUUUCCAAAUAUUUGUUGAAAAAUAGUGAAUGCCAGUCCACGGAACGAAUAUAAUCAUUGAAUUGAUCGUAAGGAGGCUUCGAAAAGUUGAAUUUGUAGAGCAGUGUUUCUUGUUAAGUUUGUCUUCAUAUGUAUACGUAGUAUUAGUUUUAUACAAAACAGUGUAACAAUUUUAUAUGUUCAGUGUAAAUGCAUUUAUUUGAAUUGACUUAUCCCAUAGCAUUUAUAAGCUCAGAGGGUUAAUAAAGUAUUAUUAUUAUUAUUAUUAUAAACGAACGAAUACUAGCCAAACGAGACGAAAAUUCGAACGUGAUAUGUGUGCAAUCGGUCAGUGAUAUCCGAAUUCUUUUUAGUGGUUUAUUUACAUUACAAUUUAUCAAUUUACGAUAUUUAAUUUCAUUAUGGAGACUUUUGAAUUUCGUAGUAUACGCUGAUCGAAUCUUGUACUAUAAAAAUUUGGAUAUAAUUACAGAA